AGUGGGAUAGUUGGAUCAAAUGGUGGUUCCAUUCCAGGUUUUCUAAAGAAUCUCAGACUGCUUUCCAAAGUGGCUGCACCAUUUUACAAUCCCACCAGCAAU
This 102-nucleotide microRNA precursor is filed under the name Marmota monax (woodchuck). The record is from RNAcentral. Lineage: Eukaryota; Metazoa; Chordata; Mammalia; Rodentia; Sciuridae.